AGAUAGCUGGUUCUCCCCGAAAUAGCUUUAGGGCUAGCCUCGAGGUUGAGAGUAUAGGCGGUAGAGCACUGAUCGGGCUAGGGGCCAUACCGGUUACCGAACCUAGUCAAACUACGAAUGGCUAUACUUAUACUCGGGAGUCAGACAGUGAAUGAUAAGGUCCAUUGUCAAGAGGGAAACAGCCCAGAACACCGACUAAGGUCCCCAAUGUCAUACUAAGUGGCGAAGGAUGUGGAAUUUCCAAAACAACCAGGAUGUUGGCUUAGAAGCAGCCACCAUUUAAAGAGUGCGUAAUAGCUCACUGGUCGAGAGACUCUGCGCCGAAAAUGUCCGGGGCUAAAGUAUGAAACCGAAGUCGUGUCAUAUGCAGCAAUGUAUAUGGGUAGGGGAGCGUUCUCAUCGGAUUGAAGCAGUACCGUAAGGAGUUGUGGACUGGUGAGAAGUGAGAAUGUCGGUAUGAGUAGCGAAAAGAAUGGUGAGAAUCCAUUCCACCGAAAGCCUAAGGGUUCCUGAGCAACGAUCGUCGUCUCAGGGUAAGUCGGGACCUAAGCCGAGGCGGAAAAGCGUAGGCGAUGGACAACAGGUUGAAAUUCCUGUACCGGUGUGAAUCGUUUGAUCGAAGGAGUGACACAGUAAGGUAGGUCAGCACGCGAUUGGAAGUGCGUGUUUAAGCAUGUAGGUUGAGUUAUAGGUAAAUCCGUAACUCUAAAAGCUGAGAUGUGAUGACGAGCUGUUUACAGCGAAGUGAUUGAUCCUACACUGUCGAGAAAAGCUUCUAGGUAGAGACACAUCGCCCGUACCAAAACCGACACAGGUAGGCGGGGAGAGAAUCCUAAGGUGCGCGGGAAAACCCUCGUUAAGGAACUCGGCAAAAUGCCUCCGUAACUUCGGGAAAAGGAGGACUCAUGUAGUGUGAAGGGCAGUAACGCGUGGAGCAUGAAUGAGUGGCACAAGAGAGGCGCAAGCGACUGUUUACCACAAACACAGGUGCCUGCUAAAGCGAAAGCUGAUGUAUAGGUGCUGACACCUGCCCGGUGCUGGAAGGUUAAGAGGAGGGGUUAGACUUCGGUCGAAGCUCUGAAUUGAAGCCCCAGUAAACGGCGGCCGUAACUAUAACGGUCCUAAGGUAGCGAAAUUCCUUGUCGGGUAAGUUCCGACCCGCACGAAAGGUGUAACGACUUGCGCACUGUCUCAACGAGGGACCCGGUGAAAUUGAAGUACCUGUGAAGAUGCAGGUUACCCGCGACUGGACAGAAAGACCCCAUGGAGCUUUACUGCAACCUAAGAUUGAACUUAGUUAAUGAAUGUACAGGAUAGGUGGGAGACUUAGAAUCUAGGGCGCCAGUCUUAGAGGAGUCGUUGUUGGGAUACCACCCUUUGAUUAAUUGAUUUCUAACAGGCCGAUUAACAACCGGCUGGACAGUCUUAGGCGGGCAGUUUGACUGGGGCGGUCGCCUCCUAAAGAGUAACGGAGGCGCCCAAAGGUUCCCUCAGAGCGGACGGAAAUCGCUCGAAGAGUGUAAAGGCAGAAGGGAGCUUGACUGCGAGACGGACAGGUCGAGCAGGGACGAAAGUCGGGCUUAGUGAUCCGGUGGUGCCGAGUGGAAGGGCCAUCGCUCAACGGAUAAAAGCUACCCUGGGGAUAACAGGCUAAUCUCUCCCAAGAGUCCAUAUCGACGGGGAGGUUUGGCACCUCGAUGUCGGCUCAUCACAUCCUGGGGCUGAAGUAGGUCCCAAGGGUAUGGCUGUUCGCCAUUUAAAGUGGUACGCGAGCUGGGUUUAGAACGUCGUGAGACAGUUCGGUCCCUAUCUGCCGUGGGCGUUGGAGAAUUGAUUGGGGCUGCUCCUAGUACGAGAGGACCGGAGUGGACGCACCACUGGUGUUCCGGUUGUGUCGCCAGACGCAUUGCCGGGUAGCUAAGUGCGGAAGAGAUAAGUGCUGAAAGCAUCUAAGCACGAAACUUGCCAAGAGAUGAGUUCUCCCAGAUUUAAAAUCUGUAAGGGUUGUUUAAGACUAAGACGUAGAUAGGUCUGGUGUGUAAGCGGUGCGAGCCGUUGAGCUAACAGAUACUAAUUGCCCGAGAGGCUUAACUAU
RNAcentral lists this ribosomal RNA (2095 nucleotides) under human gut metagenome. Its description in RNAcentral is "bacterial LSU rRNA". It matches the Rfam family "Bacterial large subunit ribosomal RNA", at positions 843 to 2925 of the family's 2925-position model. The record is from RNAcentral.